GCUCCCGUGGCGCAAUGGUAGCGCAUCAGACUUCUACUUGAUCUCAUCAUCAAGUCGUACAUCUGGGGGUUGCGGGUUCGAGCCCCGCCGGGAGUU
Molecule: non-coding RNA, 96 nt
Organism: Coniella lustricola
Lineage: Eukaryota; Fungi; Ascomycota; Sordariomycetes; Diaporthales; Schizoparmaceae
Source: the annotation of a GenBank genome assembly